Molecule: ribosomal RNA, 468 nt
Filed under: uncultured bacterium
Lineage: Bacteria
Description: partial 16S ribosomal RNA
Rfam family: Bacterial small subunit ribosomal RNA
Source: RNAcentral
GACGAACGCUGGCGGCGUGCUUAACACAUGCAAGUCGAACGGAAAGGCCCUGCUUUUGUGGGGUGCUCGAGUGGCGAACGGGUGAGUAACACGUGAGUAACCUGCCCUUGACUUUGGGAUAACUUCAGGAAACUGGGGCUAAUACCGGAUAGGAGCUCCUGCUGCAUGGUGGGGGUUUGAAAGUUUCGGCGGUUGGGGAUGGACUCGCGGCUUAUCAGCUUGUUGGUGGGGUAAUGGCUUACCAAGGCUUUGACGGGUAGCCGGCCUGAGAGGGUGACCGGCCACAUUGGGACUGAGAUACGGCCCAGACUCCUACGGGAGGCAGCAGUGGGGAAUAUUGCACAAUGGGCGGAAGCCUGAUGCAGCAACGCCGCGUGCGGGAUGACGGCCUUCGGGUUGUAAACCGCUUUCGCCUGUGACGAAGCGUGAGUGACGGUAAUGGGUAAAGAAGCACCGGCUAACUACGUG